CGGAGCUCCGGGGGAUCUGAGUAUCUCAUAGUCUUUCUUUCUUUCCUUUUGAUCUCCACCUGCAGGUUCGAAAUUCUUUCAGCUGUUAAAAUAUGGGAAAUUCAACGUCUAUCCCUGUAAACUCACUUGGGAUUCCAUAUUAAAUAGUUGAAAUUUCUACACUCAAAGCACAGAUUUACAAGGCUCGGCGUAGGGUCCCAUGUUAGUAGAAGGCACGAGAAAGAUCUGUGAGUAAACCAGUGAGUCAUGAUCAAGUCCCGGGAGUGACUCGGGGAGAGAAUGGGAACCUGUUUGGGUCUUGAUUAGACUGAAACCUUAAGAAGUGAACGAACACUGACCCAAGUUCUCAGGAGGGAUGGAGUCUCCUGGGCACCAGCUGCAGACUUGAGGAGAGAAUUUCAAAAGCCAACUCCGGGUCCUCAGUCCCCUGUCACCCAAUUUUUAAAUUUGACCUUUGGGGCAUUCAACAAAAAGAUAAAGGGCCCCAUGAAAUCUUGGAGACAGCGACGGGAGAACAAGCCCAGGGCUUGCCCUGACCACAGGCCCGGCCCCUCAGAGAUGAUAUCCAAGGGCUCCACGCCAAAGAGGGAAAAGAGUUGGAGACCUAGAGGAUGUCACCAUGGCAGACUGUCCCCAGCAGGGCCCAUCGACACAGGGGCCGUGCCCCCUUCAUAGAGAGGGGGACCCUGGGGAAGAGAUUGCCUCACCUCCGGAGAGGGACAGGAGGCCAUCUGCCCCAUCAAGGUGCUGCCCCAUCAAGGUGCCCUGGAAGACAGAUGCCUGAGGCCUCUCAAGUCCCCUUUGACCUUCUGGACGUCACCACAGAAGAGGCUCAGAGACUCUUGAUGUGGCAGCCUGUGGAUACUGGAGCUCAACUCUCUGCCUUUCUAAUCAAACUGCGUGGCCACUGCACCCUGAGGCCAGUUGACUCGCAGAGCCUUUCACUUGCAGAUUUAAAAACCUGAUUUUCGGGCUGGGGAUGUGGCUCAAGCGGUAGCGCGCUCGCCUGGCAUGCGUGCGGCCCAGGUUCGAGCCUCAGCACCACAUACAAACAAAGAUGUUGU
RNAcentral lists this long non-coding RNA (1064 nucleotides) under Marmota monax (woodchuck). Lineage: Eukaryota; Metazoa; Chordata; Mammalia; Rodentia; Sciuridae. The record is from RNAcentral.